Molecule: long non-coding RNA, 500 nt
Filed under: Equus asinus (donkey)
Lineage: Eukaryota; Metazoa; Chordata; Mammalia; Perissodactyla; Equidae
Description: lncRNA (ENSEASG00005029350.1)
Source: RNAcentral
GCUGUGAGGUGCCUACCGCUCAGAGACUGGCUGCUGCGACUCAACACUGCCCAGACCACCAGCAGGGGGCUGAGGGCAGGUGCCCUCCAGGACACAAAUGGGAGGAGACCUCUACUCACGACUCUGAACAGUGAGGUAGCAGAGAGAGGGGGAGAAAAAGCCUCACCUCUGAAGCAACCUACACCUUCUUGCAGCUGUUUGGCUCUCUCGCUUCCUCCACCAUAGACAAAGCUCUGACCAACCACUGCGGGCGCACCAGUGUGGCUUUCCCAGUUGGCUGAUCUAGACAUCACUGUUCUUCCGACCCAUGAUUGCUUCCCGACGAAGAUGGAUUCCUGCCACCUUCACUAAUCAAUUCAGUCAAGCCAUCAGGCACAGAGAACAGCAGGGCAAUUGCUUUUUCCUCCUACACCUAUUCAUCACCAUCCAUCCACUGUUUCAGACCAUUUCCUCUUCCACCUUCUCCUCCUUCCCCAAGAAGUAUGAAAAAGAGAAACGAU